Molecule: ribosomal RNA, 635 nt
Filed under: uncultured bacterium
Lineage: Bacteria
Description: bacterial SSU rRNA
Rfam family: Bacterial small subunit ribosomal RNA
Source: RNAcentral
CGAACGAAGCACUUGAAACAGAUUCUUCGGAUGAAGUUUCCUGUGACUGAGUGGCGGACGGGUGAGUAACGCGUGGGUAACCUGCCUCAUACAGGGGGAUAACAGUCAGAAAUGACUGCUAAUACCGCAUAAGCGCACAGGACCGCAUGGUCCAGUGUGAAAAACUCCGGUGGUAUAAGAUGGACCCGCGUUGGAUCAGCUGGUUGGUGGGGUAACGGCCUACCAAGGCGACGAUCCAUAGCCGGCCUGAGAGGGUGAACGGCCACAUUGGGACUGAGACACGGCCCAGACUCCUACGGGAGGCAGCAGUGGGGAAUAUUGCACAAUGGGGGAAACCCUGAUGCAGCGACGCCGCGUGAAGGAAGAAGUAUCUCGGUAUGUAAACUUCUAUCAGCAGGGAAGAUAGUGACGGUACCUGACUAAGAAGCCCCGGCUAACUACGUGCCAGCAGCCGCGGUAAUACGUAGGGGGCAAGCGUUAUCCGGAUUUACUGGGUGUAAAGGGAGCGUAGACGGACUGGCAAGUCUGAUGUGAAAGGCGGGGGCUCAACCCCUGGACUGCAUUGGAAACUGUUAGUCUUGAGUGCCGGAGAGGUAAGCGGAAUUCCUAGUGUAGCGGUGAAAUGCGUAGAUAUU